AGUGAACGCUGGCGGUAGGCCUAACACAUGCAAGUCGAACGGCAGCACAGUAAGAUCUUGCUCUUACGGGUGGCGAGUGGCGGACGGGUGAGGAAUACAUCCUAAUCUACUUUUUCGUGGGGGAUAACGUAGGUAAACUUACGCUAAUACCGCAUACGACCUACGGUUGAAAGCAGGGGAUCUUCUGACCUUGCGCGAUUGAAUUAGCCGAUGUCGGAUUAGCUAGUUGGCGGGGUAAAGGCCCACCAAGGCGACGAUCCGUAGCUGGUCUGAGAGGAUGAUCAGCCACACUGGAACUGAGACACGGUCCAGACUCCUACGGGAGGCAGCAGUGGGGAAUAUUGGACAAUGGGCGCAAGCCUGAUCCAGCCAUACCGCGUGGGUGAAGAAGGCCUUCGGGUUGUAAAGCCCUUUUGUUGGGAAAGAAAAGCAGCAGGUUAAUACCCCGCUGUUCUGACGGUACCCAAAGAAUAAGCACCGGCUAACUUCGUG
RNAcentral lists this ribosomal RNA (492 nucleotides) under uncultured bacterium. RNAcentral describes it as "partial 16S ribosomal RNA". It matches the Rfam family "Bacterial small subunit ribosomal RNA", at positions 29 to 507 of the family's 1533-position model. The record is from RNAcentral.